This 68-nucleotide transfer RNA is filed under the name Pheidole fervens. Its description in RNAcentral is "tRNA-Asn". The record is from RNAcentral. Lineage: Eukaryota; Metazoa; Arthropoda; Insecta; Hymenoptera; Formicidae.
UUAAUUAAAACCAAAAUAGAGGUAAAUUAUUGUUAAUAAUUUUAUUGAAUUUCUAUAUUCUAAUUAAC